RNAcentral lists this long non-coding RNA (710 nucleotides) under Rattus norvegicus (Norway rat). RNAcentral's name for it is "long non-coding RNA NONRATT005092". Lineage: Eukaryota; Metazoa; Chordata; Mammalia; Rodentia; Muridae. The record is from RNAcentral.
CCGGUCCUGUCCGUGGUUCACUCUCUGAAAGGCCUAGGGUUUGGGUGAUGGCACGCCAUUGCACAUGGGACGCAAGCCGCAGGUUCCAUUUCAGAAGUAAUGGCUGGAUCCCUGGAAGCAGAUGGACUCGGUGUGGUUAGAGGGCAGAGGUAGAUGAUGCUGCGUAUUGAGCCCUCCUCAGCCCACUUUGAUUGAGGUGUUGCGCGGUGAGGAAGGGCCUUCGUGACCAGUCUGCAUGGGGGAGGCUGAACCAUAGUUUCUGGGCCUUCAAGGGGUGUUGCUGCAGCCACGGGGGCAGCCCUCCUGCGCCUGGACUUCUGCCUGCGAGCAGAGGAGCUUCCACACACAGCUCGUCAGAGCAUCCGUGCUUCUGCGCUAAGUGGCAGAUUCCAGGACGGCUCCAGGGGGCAUCAUCGAAAGGCGUGGCACAUCAGGGCCUUCAGGAUGGCUGCGUCCUGGUUAUUGCCCUGUGGUGCCAGAGAGAACCACACAGCCUGCUGCUGCUCCUGCCUUUAAUUUCCCAAAGAGCCAUCAAAAGACCUUGGACUUUGUUCUGCAAGAGGAGCUAGCAAAAUGGAGUGACUGUGGUCACCCUGGAAGCCUUUGACAGCUGGGGAGGCCCUGCUGAGCUUAGAAAACCAUCUGAUAGAUUUCCUGAGUAAGGAUUGGGCUUUGUAUUUUGAAGCACAAAUAAACUUGAUAAAAUUAAA